CUACGGGUGGCACCAGUGAGGAAUAUUGCACAAUGGGGGGAACCCUGAUGCAGCAACGCCGCGUGGAGGAUGACGCAUUUCGGUGUGUAAACUCCUUUUAUAUGUCAAGAAAAUGACGGUAGCAUAUGAAUAAGCACCGGCUAGACUCCGUGCCAGCAGCCGCGGUAAUACGGAGGGUGCAAGCGUUACUCGGAAUCACUGGGCGUAAAGGACGCGUAGGCGGGUUGGAAAGUCAGGUGUGAAAUCCUACAGCUUAACUGUAGAACUGCACUUGAAACUUCUAAUCUAGAGUAUGGGAGGGGGAGAUGGAAUUAGUGGUGUAGGGGUAAAAUCCGUAGAUAUCACUAGGAAUACCUAAAGCGAAGGCGAUCUCCUGGAACAUUACUGACGCUAAGCCGUGAAAGCGUGGGGAGCAAACAGGAUUAGAUACCCUUGUAGUC
This 440-nucleotide ribosomal RNA is filed under the name uncultured bacterium. Its description in RNAcentral is "partial 16S ribosomal RNA". It matches the Rfam family "Bacterial small subunit ribosomal RNA", at positions 339 to 795 of the family's 1533-position model. The record is from RNAcentral.